UGUCCCGUUGUGUAAUGGUAGCACAGAAGAUUUUGGUUCUUUUAGUCUGGGUUCGAAUCCUUGCGGGACAA
RNAcentral lists this transfer RNA (71 nucleotides) under Cytophagaceae bacterium. RNAcentral's name for it is "tRNA-Gln". It matches the Rfam family "tRNA". Rfam says of the family: Transfer RNA (tRNA) molecules are approximately 80 nucleotides in length. The record is from RNAcentral. Lineage: Bacteria; Pseudomonadati; Bacteroidota; Cytophagia; Cytophagales; Cytophagaceae. RNAcentral also lists the same sequence under 2 other names.